GUGAAUCAUCGAAUCUUUGAACGCAAAUUGCACUCCCUUCGGUGAGUAUGCCUGUUUGAGGGUCAGUAUUAUUAAAAAUCGGUGUGUUGCUUCUUUGUUACGCUCCGUGGUUUGGGUCAUCUUAAUAUCCUUUAGGUUUUUAGAGGCUCAAAAUUGACUUUUUUUGCGCAUUUUAGACGUACUUAAUUUCUUUUCUUUAUUUGUCUGUUUU
RNAcentral lists this unclassified non-coding RNA (211 nucleotides) under Glomeraceae sp. Its description in RNAcentral is "partial contains 5.8S ribosomal RNA and internal transcribed spacer 2". The stretch from base 1 to 65 matches the Rfam family "5.8S ribosomal RNA", at positions 84 to 154 of the family's 154-position model. Lineage: Eukaryota; Fungi; Glomeromycota; Glomeromycetes; Glomerales; Glomeraceae. The record is from RNAcentral.